GAUGAAGAACGUAGCGAAAUGCGAUACGUAAUGUGAAUUGCAGAAUUCAGUGAAUCAUCGAAUCUUUGAACGCAUAUUGCGCUCUCUGGUAUUCCGGAGAGCAUGCUUGUUUGAGUAUCAGUAAACACCUCAACUUUCCAUAUCUUUUUUGAAAUGGGAGUUGGACUUGAGUGAUCCCAACGCUUUUCCUCACCGAAAAGUGGCGGGUUACUUGAAAUGCAGGUGCAGCUGGACUUUUCUCUGAGCUAUAAGCAUAUCUAUUUAGUCUGCCUAAAAAACAGAUUAUUACCUUUGCUGCAGCUAACAUAAGGGAGAUUAGUUCUUGUGCUGACUGAUGCAGGAUUCACAAAGACAGGCUUCGGCCGACUUUGUAAACUCGAUCUCAAAUCAAGUAAGACUACCCGCUGAACUUAAGCAUAUCAAUAAGCGGAGGA
Molecule: unclassified non-coding RNA, 434 nt
Filed under: soil metagenome
Description: partial contains 5.8S ribosomal RNA, internal transcribed spacer 2, and large subunit ribosomal RNA
Rfam family: 5.8S ribosomal RNA (bases 1-120)
Source: RNAcentral